RNAcentral lists this ribosomal RNA (484 nucleotides) under uncultured bacterium. RNAcentral's name for it is "partial 16S ribosomal RNA". It matches the Rfam family "Bacterial small subunit ribosomal RNA", at positions 30 to 507 of the family's 1533-position model. The record is from RNAcentral.
AUUGAACGCUGGCGGCAGGCCUAACACAUGCAAGUCGAGCGGAUGAAGGGAGCUUGCUCCUGGAUUCAGCGGCGGACGGGCGAGUAAUGCCUAGGAAUCUGCCCGGCAGUGGGGGCUAACGUCCGGAAACGGGCGCUAAUACCGCAUACGUCCUGAGGGAGAAAGUGGGGGAUCUUCGGACCUCACGCUAUCAGAUGAGCCUAGGUCGGAUUAGCUAGUUGGUGGGGUAAAGGCAUACCAAGGCGACGAUCCGUAACUGGUCUGAGAGGCUGAUCAGUCACACUGGAACUGAGACACGGUCCAGACUCCUACGGGAGGCAGCAGUAGGGAAUAUUGGACAAUGGGCGAAAGCCUGAUCCAGCCAUGCCGCGUGUGUGAAGAAGGUCUUCGGAUUGUAAAGCACUUUAAGUUGGGAGGAAGGACAGUAAGUUAAUACCUGGCUGUUUUGACGUUACCAACAGAAUAAGCACCGGCUAACUUCGUG